AGACCGUGGACUACCCUGUGUGGUCUUGGUUUGCCUUGCCAUUUUUUGCUGGUCUUUGUUAGGUAUUGGUUUACCUUGCCUUCUUCACUGAUCAACAUUUGCUGUGACUUUAUAGAGAGAAAUGUACCAAAGAACUUCUGGUGGUGUUCCAGUAGCUUCUUGCCGCUCCUGUGGACUCAAGCAGAUAGGCAAAGCCUCAAGGUUUCUUCUGGAUCGAACUGCCAUUGGACUUCCGCUGCUGAUUCGUGUGAACUGAACUGCUGAUAUCCUGACAAUUUUCCAUUAUCCUCUGCCUUCAAAACCACUCAAAGGAUGGACCAAGGAAAGUUCCCACAGACUGAAGUGGGCAGUGGGCAGCACCAGGAACAGCAGCCCAAGAUGGAACUGGAUGCAAUCCUGCAGCUCAACGCCAAGGAGAGGACUUUUGGCUCCGCCCCUGUGCCCCAGAGAAGCCCCGCAGCUUCUAGGAAGGAGGAAGUCCGGUCUUGCUCAUCUCUUAUCUCUCAUCCUGCUCAGGGAAUGUCAUUUCCGUUGAGUUUAAAUUUGAGAUUGCUGAACGGCAAAUAAUAACGGUGAUUUAGGUUCGGUAAUCACACUUUGAAUAUGGUAGACUGGUUUAUAACACAGAAUCUUAGGUAAAAUAAUCUUGGAAGAAAACGCACACCCACGUCCAUCCCAGUGCCGUAUCUUAAGUCAAAUUAAAGAGGAACACACUGCCAGAGUCAGAAAUGUUGUGUUGCCAUCAUGCUGUGAAUGCUGGUGUUGGGUAGGGCGGGCAGCGACAAAAGCCUGCUUUUCCUGCCUCGUCCCUGUUCCAAAAGUCACUUGGCACACUUGAGGCAUUUGUUACCAUAGCAGCCAGACCCUUGGAACCCGUUUGCGGUUGUACUUCCAUUUACUGUGGUUUAUAACAGAACACCUGAGACUGAGUACAUUAUAAAGCAUACGGGUUUGGCUAAUGGUCCUAGAAAAGUGGGCGUCCAAGAGUGUGAUAUGAGCAUUCAGUGUGAGUUUCACAUGCUGCGCCUUCCCACCGUGCUAUACAAAGAACAAGAGAGGCCCAGUUCCUGUAACUAGCCAAAUCGUGGAAAUGACCUUAGUCCACGUAGGAGUGCAGUGUUCUUAUACUCUAAUAAAGGCGAUUAAAACUCAGUGUGAAGUUUUAGAGUGACCAUUCAGAUCACAGCACUUCCCCUGACGUGAAAUAGAGGAAGAGGGAGAGGGGAAUGUGGGUGCAUGUGGCAGGAACUCAUCCUAUCCACAGUAAAAGAAGGAAGAGCAAUAAGACGUCUGGGGGUCUUUUUGACCGUGAUAGGUGAAGUAAAGGGAGAUGUUUGAUAUUAGAGAAAGCAUAUGAAUGUUUUUGAAUUUGUUAAAAAGGUAAGAUGAGAAACAAUGAAACAAAAUCAAAGAGAGAAAAGAAUCUGAGUUGAGGUCAGCAAUAGCGGAGACCGGUGCAGUGUUUCCAAUCAAUGGCCAUGGUGGAUUGUCAAAUUCCUUGUCUGGCCUCAGUGGGAGAGGAAGCGCCUAGCCUCAAAGAGGCUUGAACUGGGGGGAGGGGGGGGGAAUACUCAGAGGAACCCCACCCGCUCAGAGAAAGAGAGGAAAGGGGAUGGAGGAAGGAUUGUGGAGGGGAGGAGGUGACCGGGAACAGUGAGCUGAAUGUAAAGUGAGUAAGUAAAAAGUAUAAUUAAAAAUUAAAAUUAAAAUUAAAAAAUCCUCAACAGUCUACGCCACUAGGUGGCGAUGUAGAACAGCUGAAGCACUGGCAGCCGAUGAGUUGGCCUUUGUGGCAUGCUCUGUCCACCCACCAUGAAAGAUUCCAGUUUCUAUAUUCCGCUUGGAUGCAUUUUAACAUUAAAUGCAAUUUGUCAGUGUUUAUUAUAAUUGUUCAAAACGAUGGCCCAAAACAAUGGGUGUUUUAACCGUCUCUGACGGAUUGGUUUUCCCCCAAUUGUUUAAAAUUUUACAUUUUUACCUCACACCUGUUUGUUUGUUUCACUUCUUAGGAACUUGACACGACUCCUGACUUGGAAAUUUCAUUCUAGACAAGUAUUUCCUACCAAAACGAUAAGGAGAUAAGAGCAAGGGAAUCGUAGACAAAUCCUAUCAGACCCCGAGGAAUCAAACAAGAUUCUCUGCAAACACUUAAUAAUCGCAUGCGCAUCCUGUUUCCGGGACUUCCCAGGCGCAGGCAUUGUGAGCCUUCCAGGCAGCUCCUCAGAGGCCCUGGGGCAGCACGUGUGACGAAAGCAAGGAAGGGCUGCUGACGUCAGGACUGGAGAAGUCCCAGAUUUCCUCCCCAACAGUCAAGAGUCAAGGCUUCGGAGAUCGUGACCGUGAACCGCCGCAGGCGGGAUAAAACACAGUGCAGUACGGUUACGUCGGUGUUGCCGAUAAAGAGACAGAACAAAUAAUGCUUAGUGUGAGUGCAUCUCAAACACUGCCCAGCAUUCACUUCGACUAAAGGAUUAGUCGUCAUUUCUCUGAAGUUCGAAAUUAACUGAACUUUCUGUCUGUGCUUUUAGUUGUUGGAUAUGGUAAAACGGAGAGCCUUCGCUGUCCCCAUCUGAUUGGUUCGCUUUCCUUAUUAAACGCAGCUUCCCCAUGACCACUUACAUUUUAUAAAUAUAUGUGCCGGACCAUUCUGAACUUGUUGCUGCUCUAAGCCUGGCAGGUCUGAAGACACAGGACUUCAGUGUCGGCCUUUGCUUGGGUGACAGUUUCGUGGGAGCACAUGCACAGGAAAUCACCCAGAGAGACAGAAAGCAAGAGCCCUGAAGGGACUUUUAAAGUACCCUCUUCCUGAGAGAAAUCAUUUAUACCUGUCACGUCUGACAUCUCCCAAGACACAGCAGGCGACAUUCACGAGAGUGGUAUCCCCAUGACCUGUGCACCUCCACCAGGCUUCCCUUAACCCACCUCUACCGUCCUGACAGAGAAACCCUGAAAACCAAGCUUCUGGCACAUAAACUUUGGAAUACAAACCAGAUCUAAAUCAUGGUGUUUACCCCAUUUCCUUCCAUUGGUGGCUAAUUCAGCAAACACAUUGGAAUGAGUAAUUUCUGAGGACACAAACCUGAAAGCUCUGGUCUUCCUGUGAAACGCCUAACAGUGGGAACAGGGCUCUCUCUGACUCUGUCGCCUGCCUUUGGGUCCCUUUCCUCCUCCUGGGCUGUCUUGUUUAGCCUUAAUAGGAGAGGAGGUGCCUUGUCUUACUGCAACUUGCUAUGCCACGGCCAUUUAAUAUCCAUGGGAGAACUACACUUUUCUAAAGCGAAAUAGAGGAGUGUGUGUGUGUGUGUGUGUGUG
Molecule: long non-coding RNA, 3312 nt
Organism: Mus pahari (shrew mouse)
Lineage: Eukaryota; Metazoa; Chordata; Mammalia; Rodentia; Muridae
Exons: 5
Source: RefSeq, a predicted model, not a curated record